RNAcentral lists this ribosomal RNA (497 nucleotides) under uncultured bacterium. RNAcentral's name for it is "partial 16S ribosomal RNA". It matches the Rfam family "Bacterial small subunit ribosomal RNA", at positions 28 to 507 of the family's 1533-position model. The record is from RNAcentral.
GAUGAACGCUGGCGGCGUGCCUAAUACAUGCAAGUCGAGCGAACAGACGAGGAGCUUGCUCCUCUGACGUUAGCGGCGGACGGGUGAGUAACACGUGGAUAACCUACCUCUAAGACUGGGAUAACUUCGGGAAACCGGAGCUAAUACCGGAUAAUAUAUUGAACCGCAUGGUUCAAUAGUGAAAGACGGUUUUGCUGUCACUUAUAGAUGGCUCCGCGCCGCAUUAGCUAGUUGGUAAGGUAACGGCUUACCAAGGCAACGAUGCGUAGCCGACCUGAGAGGGUGAUCGGCCACACUGGAACUGAGACACGGUCCAGACUCCUACGGGAGGCAGCAGUAGGGAAUCUUCCGCAAUGGGCGAAAGCCUGACGGAGCAACGCCGCGUGAGUGAUGAAGGUCUUCGGAUCGUAAAACUCUGUUAUUAGGGAAGAACAAAUGUGUAAGUAACUAUGCACGUCUUGACGGUACCUAAUCAGAAAGCCACGGCUAACUACGUG